Molecule: microRNA precursor, 173 nt
Filed under: Malus domestica (apple)
Lineage: Eukaryota; Viridiplantae; Streptophyta; Magnoliopsida; Rosales; Rosaceae
Description: miR10991b stem-loop (mdm-MIR10991b)
Source: miRBase by way of RNAcentral
CCUUSGGACCCAAAUGAAYUGAGUCCAAAGAUCAAAUGAUYCGAGCCAUUGAAAUUCGAUCCAACGGCUGCAAUUUUUAUAACUUUUAGAGGACCCCUUGUUUGUAGUCGUUGGAUCAAAUUUCAAUGACUCGGAUCAUUUGAUGAGUGGGCUCAGUUUCUUUGGAUCCCGAA